AUACGUAGGUGACAAGCGUUAUCCGGAUUUACUGGGUGUAAAGGGCAUGUAGGCGGUUUAGCAAGUCAGAAGUGAAAUUCCCGGGCUUAACUUGGGCGCUGCUUCUGAAACUGCUUUACUUGAGUGCUGGAGAGGAUAGUGGAAUUCCUAGUGUAGCGGUAAAAUGCGCAGAUAUUAGGAGGAACACCGGUGGCGAAGGCGGCUAUCUGGACAGUAACUGACGCUGAGGCGCGAAAGCACGGGGAGCAAACAGGAUUAGAUACCCUGGUAGUCCGUGCCGUAAACGAUGAAUACUAGGUGUAGGGGGUAUCGACUCCCUCUGUGCCGCAGUUAACACAUUAAGUAUUCCACCUGGGGAGUACGGCCGCAAGGUUGAAACUUAAAGGAAUUGACGGGG
Molecule: ribosomal RNA, 397 nt
Filed under: uncultured bacterium
Lineage: Bacteria
Description: partial 16S ribosomal RNA
Rfam family: Bacterial small subunit ribosomal RNA
Source: RNAcentral